Non-coding RNA from Paramormyrops kingsleyae, 546 nucleotides. NCBI's taxonomy places the organism in Eukaryota, Metazoa, Chordata, Actinopteri, Osteoglossiformes, Mormyridae. The record is from RefSeq and is a predicted model, not a curated record.
UAGCUGCUCUAACCCCACACAUCCUGUCUUCUCUCAGUCUGAGAGGCAUCAGCAGAGGAAACUUCACGCAGCGUCUCCCUGAACACAGGAUGGACUUUCUGCUUCACAGGACGUGUCCUCUCUGAGGAGCUGCCCUCGGUAUGAAGAUGUGGAGGACAGUGUGGGAGACCCUCUCUCAGGUUCAGCUUUGAUGGUGACAGGAGACACAGAAGAGGACUAUGAUGAUGUAGAUGGUAUAGAGCAGGGUCCACAUGUUAUACAGGGUGAGAGAGCCUUGACCACACUGCCCCCUGGGGACGGCCCCCCUGAACCCGACCAGACUGACUAUGAGGAUGUGGGGGAGGAGGGACUAACAGUCCUGCCUGAAGAAAGGUUCACAUACUGUAAAAGGGCCACGUUGGCUUCAUAUUUUAUACAAACCCCAUCAAUAGUUCAGUUUUUGUAAAUUCAUCUGUUUCUUUUUAAAAUGGACAUUAUCCUUUAUUAAAUACUAUAUCUUUGUAAUUUUAUUCAUGACAAAUGAAAUAAACAUACAUUAAAUUCAAA